CCUACGGGUGGCAGCAGUGGGGAAUAUUGGGCAAUGGGCGCAAGCCUGACCCAGCAACGCCGCGUGAAGGAAGAAGGCUUUCGGGUUGGAAACUUCUUGUGUCAGGGGAGCGUAGAAGACGGUACCUGACGAAUAAGCCACGGCUAACUACGUGCCAGCAGCCGCGGUAGUACGUAGGUGGCAAGCAUUGUCCGGAUUUACUGGGUGUAAAGGGCGUGUAGCCGGGUUGACAAGUCAGAUGUGAAAUCCUGCGGCUUAACCGCAGAACUGCAUUUGAAACUGUUGAUCUUGAGUACUGGAGAGGCAGACGGAAUUCCUGGUGUAGCGGUGAAAUGCGUAGAUAUUAGGAGGAACACCAGUGGCGAAGGCGGUCUGCUGGACAGCAACUGACGGUGAGGCGCGAAAGCGUGGGGAGCGAACAGGAUUAGAUACCCCUGUAGUC
RNAcentral lists this ribosomal RNA (442 nucleotides) under uncultured bacterium. RNAcentral describes it as "partial 16S ribosomal RNA". It matches the Rfam family "Bacterial small subunit ribosomal RNA", at positions 338 to 795 of the family's 1533-position model. The record is from RNAcentral.